This 330-nucleotide ribosomal RNA is filed under the name uncultured eukaryote. RNAcentral describes it as "partial 18S ribosomal RNA". It matches the Rfam family "Eukaryotic small subunit ribosomal RNA", at positions 1470 to 1796 of the family's 1831-position model. The record is from RNAcentral.
CCCUUAGAUGUUCUGGGCCGCACGCGCGCUACACUGAUGCAUUCAACGAGUCUAAAACCUGGUCUGAUAGGGCUGGGUAAUCUUUUGAAAGUGCAUCGUGAUUGGGAUAGAUGAUUGCAAUUCUUCAUCUUCAACGAGGAAUGCCUAGUAAACGCAAGUCAUCAGCUCGCGUUGAUUACGUCCCUGCCCUUUGUACACACCGCCCGUCGCUACUACCGAUUGGAUGGUUUAGUGAGAUCCUCGGAUUGGUCCCGGAGCGGCCUCUGGUCGUGCCGGAGUGCCGAAAAGAAUGUCGAACUUGAUCAUCUAGAGGAAGUAAAAGUCGUAACA